UGCCGCCCUGAAGGGCGUAUGGUGGAUGCCUUGGCAGACAGUACCGAUGAAGGACGUUUGAGGAUGCGAUAAGCCUCGGGGAGCCUCCAACAUGGCUUCGAUCCGAGGAUUUCCGAAUGGGGCAACCCGCCGGCCGUCAUGGGCCGGCACGGAACCUUGUUGUUCCGGGGGUACGCAGGGAAGUGAAACAUCUCAGUACCUGCAGGAAGGGAUACUCCGUGAGUAGUGGCGAGCGAAAGCGGAUCAGACCAAACCAUGGGCGCGUGAUACCCGUCGGGGGUUGCGUUCGUGGUGUUGAGGGAGCGUGUGUCCCGGUUCCGACGGACCGGGCGGGAGUCAUAAAACGGCUUGCCAGGGGAACAGGCUUGAAGGCCUGGCCGCAGAGGGUGCCAGCCCCGUACCUGGAAGCUUGCCGUCUUCCGAUCAUGUGUCCCAAGUAGCGCGGGCCUCGUGGAAUCCCGUGUGAAUCGGCCCCGACCGUGGGGUAAGUCUAAGCAUACCUGUCUGACCGAUAGCGUACCAGUACCGUGAGGGAAAGGUGAAAAGCACCCCGGGAGGGGAGUGAAAGAGUUCCUGAAACCGUGCGCCUACAAUCCGUCGGAGCCUCCCUGGUGGGGUGACGGCGUGCCUAUCGAAAAAUGAGUCUGCGAGUCAGUGGUGCGUGGCGAGGCUAACCCGUGGUGGGGGAGCCGUAGCGAAGGCGAGUCUCAAAAGGCGUUUUGAGUCGCGCGCCCUGGACCCGAAGCGGGAUGAUCUAGCCCUGGGCAGGUUGAAGCGCGGGUAAGACCGCGUGGAGGACCGAACCCACCUGGGUUGAAAACCGGGGGGAUGACCUGGGGCUAGGGGUGAAAGGCCAAUCAAAUUCCGUGAUAGCUGGUUCUCUCCGAAAUGCAUUUAGGUGCAGCGUCGGUUGAUUGCAUCGCGGGGGUAGAGCUACUGGAUGCUUGCGGGCCCGUGUCGGGUACCAAUAGCAGCCAAACUCCGAAUACCGUGGAUGUGUAUUCCGGCAGUGAGUCGGCGGGGGAUAAGCUCCGUCGUCGAGAGGGAGACAGCCCAGAUCGUCGUCUAAGGUCCCGAAGCGUGUGCUAAGUGGGAAAGGAUGUGGAGUCGCAUAGACAGCCAGGAGGUUGGCUCAGAAGCAGCCAUCCUUGAAAGAGUGCGUAACAGCUCACUGGUCUAGUGGUUCCGCGCCGACAAUGUAGCGGGGCUCAAGCACACCACCGAAGACGCGGCAACGGUCGUAUGGCCGUUGGGUAGGAGAGCGUCCCGCGUGGGGCGAAGCGGCCGGGGAACCGUGCCGUGGACCGCGCGGGAGUGAGAAUGCAGACAUGAGUAGCGAGAGACGGGUGAGGAUCCCGUCCGCUGGAUGACCAAGGGUUCCGGGGCCACGUUCGUCGUCCCCGGGUGAGUCGGGUCCUAAGGCGAGGCCGACAGGCGUAGUCGAAUGGAUGAACGGGUGGAUAUUCCCGUACCGGCGGCGUACCGUAAGAGCCGAACGGAUGAGUACUAACCUCCGGUCGCGUGGCGUCGUUCCCUUCGGGGUUCGGGGUCCGCGGUCGUUGGGAGCGUAGUCCUGGUAGGCUAGCGCACAGGGGUGACACGGAAUGGGAGCCGGCCGCGGAGGUGGUUUUCCGUGGUCAAGCACGCAGCCCGUCCCAUAGGCAAAUCCGUGGGACGCAUAGGGUGAGGUGUGAUGAUGGGCGUCCUUUGGACGCGAUAUCCGGUGGUCCAGGCCGUCGAGAAAAGCCUCGGCGCGAGGGGCGUCGCCGCCCGUACCCCAAACCGACACUGGUGGUCAGGUAGAGAAUACCAAGGCGAUCGAGCGAAUCCUGGUCAAGGAACUCGGCAAAUCACUCCCGUGCCUUCGGUAUAAGGGAGACCCCCGGGCGUGAAGAGGCUUGCCCUCGGAGCGUUGGGGGGUGGCACAGACCAGGGGGUAGCGACUGUUUACCAAAAACACAGGUGCAUGCGAAGGCGCAAGCCGCUGUAUAUGCACUGACGCCUGCCCGGUGCCGGAAGGUUAAGAGGAUCCGUCAGCCCCUUUUGGGGUGAAGCGGUGAAUUCAAGCCCCGGUAAACGGCGGUGGUAACUAUAACCAUCCUAAGGUAGCGAAAUUCCUUGUCGGGUAAGUUCCGACCUGCACGAAUGGCGUAACGACUUCCCCACUGUCUCGACCAGGAGCUCGGCGAAAUUGCAGUACGAGUAAAGAUGCUCGUUAAGCGCAGAAGGACGAAAAGACCCCGGGACCUUUACUAUACCUUGGUAUUGGCGUUAGGCGCGGAUUGUGUAGCAUAGGCGGGAGGCUUCGAAGC
This 2312-nucleotide ribosomal RNA is filed under the name Bifidobacterium pseudocatenulatum. Its description in RNAcentral is "bacterial LSU rRNA". It matches the Rfam family "Bacterial large subunit ribosomal RNA", at positions 1 to 2163 of the family's 2925-position model. Lineage: Bacteria; Bacillati; Actinomycetota; Actinomycetes; Bifidobacteriales; Bifidobacteriaceae. The record is from RNAcentral.